CCCAUCUCCUCCCCCUUGCAAUGAGAUAAUGAAUCGUAAUACCUAUCUAUCCAGUCCUGGGAAUCACGAAGACUAAUAGAGCAUCCCUUGGCUGAAGAGGGCACUAGGACCCUCCAGACUCCUGGAAGCAGCGGGCUUGGCAAGGAGUCAGUGACACUGAACUCACUGCGCUGUUACACAAGGCAGAGAGGAGUGGUGGAGGCAGCAGCCACAGCAGCGGCGGCGGCGGCGGCGGCGGUGGCGGCGGUGGCAGCAGCAGCAGCAGCAGCAAAGGCAGAAGCAUCUGUGUGUCCUCUGUCACUGCCAAUGGAAAGCUGACGGAAGCAACAGUGUCAUAAAGAGAUGGGCUAGUUCUCCCCCAGCUGCUGAAAUCGGGAGACAUUUGGAGCUAUGCGCUCUUAUCUGUCACCAUUGUAUUGACUUCAUUGGCCCAAGACGAUUGCUCCCCUCAAGUGGAAAGACUAUGAAGACAUCCACAGUUUGCUUUGGCUUGGACUGUGCACUUCCUGCACAUAUUCCAGGUUUCAUUUGAAGUAGUUUAGACUGGGUCUAAUAAUUAAAUCGUAGCCCCGACUUUUUCAUUGUUCAGUUGCAGUGAUUAUGGGUGGUGUGUGUCCAGCUUCCCUAUUUUAAAAAAAUAGCUAAACAUAAAAUCCACCAACGUAAAAAACCCAGGGAAACCCUACAAGAUAACUGAAAAUUCUACUACGUUACUUACCUACGUUGAUAUAAAGAAAAGAAGAUGCUUUCACUAGGACCUUAGUGAAAAUUUCAAUGUACUGUCUUAUGUAUCCUGAACCCAGCUUUGCUGCUUACUGCCUUUAUAACCUUGGGCAAAUCACCUCCAUUGACUAGGCUUCAGUUUUCUGUUCUGUCAAAAUCAAGGGGUUGGACUAGAUGACGUCUAAGGCCCCUCCCAAUUCCAAGUCUAGGAUCCUAUGAUUUUGAUUUCAAAUGUUACCUCACAUCUAAGUACUCUAGGCUAGUACCCAUUCAUGAAUUAAAAGCACGAGAGAGCCCAGAACUAGGAGUCAGAACACCUGAUCUCAAUUUUUGGACUCUGCUGCUUUCUGCCUCUGGGAUCUUAAAUAAAUCAUCCUCAUAUUACCUCUUUGUGCCUCA
Molecule: long non-coding RNA, 1122 nt
Filed under: Monodelphis domestica (gray short-tailed opossum)
Lineage: Eukaryota; Metazoa; Chordata; Mammalia; Didelphimorphia; Didelphidae
Description: lncRNA (ENSMODG00000040768.1)
Source: RNAcentral